RNAcentral lists this ribosomal RNA (102 nucleotides) under Bacteroides fragilis. RNAcentral also lists the same sequence under 1 other name. The record is from RNAcentral. Lineage: Bacteria; Pseudomonadati; Bacteroidota; Bacteroidia; Bacteroidales; Bacteroidaceae.
UAUAGCAUCAGGGUUCCACCUCUUCCCAUUCCGAACAGAGAAGUUAAGCCUGAUCACGCCGAUGGUACUGCGUAACAGUGGGAGAGUAGGUAGUCGCCGUUU